CCUGCGGGUUGUAAAGCACUUUUAGUGGGGAUGAAAAGUUCAGGGCUAACACCUCUGGAUCUCGACCUAACCCACAGAAAAAGCACCGGCUAACCCUGUGC
This 101-nucleotide ribosomal RNA is filed under the name uncultured bacterium. RNAcentral's name for it is "partial 16S ribosomal RNA". The record is from RNAcentral.